Molecule: ribosomal RNA, 207 nt
Filed under: uncultured bacterium
Lineage: Bacteria
Description: partial 16S ribosomal RNA
Rfam family: Bacterial small subunit ribosomal RNA
Source: RNAcentral
CACGCAGGCGGUUUCUUAAGUCCUUUGUGAAAGCCCGGGGCUCAACUCCGGAACUGCAGAGGAUACUGGGAGACUGGAGACAGGUAGAGGCUAGCGGAAUUCCUGGUGUAGCGGUGGAAUGCGUAGAUAUCAGGAAGAACACCUGUGGCGAAGGCGGCUAGCUGGGCCUGUUCUGACGCUCAUGUGCGAAAGCGUGGGGAGCAAACA